AUUCCCUACGGGGGGCAGCAGUGAGGAAUAUUGGUCAAUGGGCGAGAGCCUGAACCAGCCAAGUCGCGUGAAGGAUGACGACCCUACGGGUUGUGAACUUCUUUUGUCAGGGAGCAAUUGGGUCCACGCGUGGGCUUAGCGAGAGUACCUGAAGAAAAAGCAUCGGCUAACUCCGUGCCAGCAGCCGCGGUAAUACGGAGGAUGCGAGCGUUAUCCGGAUUUAUUGGGUUUAAAGGGGGCGUAGGCGGAAUAUCA
RNAcentral lists this ribosomal RNA (255 nucleotides) under uncultured bacterium. RNAcentral's name for it is "partial 16S ribosomal RNA". It matches the Rfam family "Bacterial small subunit ribosomal RNA", at positions 334 to 585 of the family's 1533-position model. The record is from RNAcentral.